Molecule: small RNA, 799 nt
Filed under: Pongo abelii (Sumatran orangutan)
Lineage: Eukaryota; Metazoa; Chordata; Mammalia; Primates; Hominidae
Description: retained intron
Source: RNAcentral
GUGCGAGCCUGCAAAGCCAACGGCGUCACCGAUCUGCUGGUCGUUCACGAGCAUCGGGGCACACCUGGUGAGGCCGGAGGGAGGGAGUCGGGGUGGGAACCGUCUGAGGGCAGACGGGGUCUCUGACAGCCACCUUUCCCCGCCAGUGGGGCUCAUCGUCAGCCACCUGCCCUUUGGCCCUACUGCCUACUUCACGCUGUGCAACGUGGUCAUGCGGCAUGACAUCCCAGACCUGGGCACCAUGUCGGAGGCCAAGCCCCACCUCAUCACACACGGCUUCUCCUCCCGCCUGGGCAAGCGGGUCUCUGACAUCCUCCGAUACCUAUUUCCCGUGCCCAAAGAUGACAGCCACCGGGUCAUCACCUUCGCAAACCAGGACGACUACAUAUCAUUCCGGUGGGUCCAUAGGCCACGCCCCAGGAGAGCAUCUCCACCCUGUGUACCUCGUGCUGCUUGCCGUUGACCCACAGCUGUUCCCUCCCAGGCACCAUGUGUACAAGAAGACAGACCACCGCAACGUGGAGCUCACUGAGUGUACAUGAUCCGUCUGGGCACGCUGGAGCAGGAGGCCACAGCAGACGUGGAGUGGCGCUGGCACCCUUACACCAAUACCGCACGCAAGAGGGUCUUCCUGAGCGCCGAGUGAGCACACUCACCACUCAGUCAGGUCAUGGACUUGGAACUCAGGAUGGGGCUGUCAUAGACAGACCUACCAGUAGGAACUGUCACGAAUGGCCUGCCGAACUGGGAUGUGGAACUGUGGCGGGUGGAGAGGUCUGAAUAAACUGUCUGUGUCACG